CUCUGUCUGUCUGUCUGUCUGUCUGUCUGUCUGUCUGUCUGUCUGUCUGUCUGUCUGUCUGUCUGUCUGUCUGUCUGUCUGUCUGUCUGUCUGUCUGUCUGUCUGUCUGUCUGUCUGUCUGUCUGUCUCAGCUCAUUGUGGUGUAGGGAAGCUUGAUGUGCAGCAGAGGCUAAGGUGAACUCAGAAAGGAAAGAGAGCUCAGAGUUUUACAGUACCAUCCUGUCCUCCAAUCAGAGAGGAGAGGGAUAAGGAGUCCCCUUAUUCCCCGUCUUCAAACCUGGAUCCUCAACCCUCCUCUUGUGUAUAGGUCACAAAUCCCCUCCAACACAGAUCAAGGUGUGACAGAACCCUCCCUCACCACCACCCCCCACCCACUCUCAGCACUAGUCCCUCACUUGGUCCUCACUCACUCGCUCUCUCUCCCUCUCUUUCACCUCAGGAGAGAGAAGAAUAAAUACAAAAUAGAUCAAUAUUUAAAAAACACAUUUGAUCUGGCACACAGGACAGACUGCGAUGCUCCUCUCCUGGUGUUCUUGUUCUCGUCAGAUGUGAAAAGCCUUGGUGCGAAGAGUUCUGACUGAUCCAGUAAAUGAUUACACGGUUCUUAUCUGGAGGAUGUCUGUCUGCAGGGCACUGGUGUGCUCCACAUAAUACCCUCCCCACUUGUUCCUACGUAAAAUACCCUCACCAGUUGUAUUGGCAUCGGUGUGACCGUCUGAAGUCCAGCAUUUUAUCAGAUGAAACGUUCAGCUAUAUUAUCAUCGUGUAGUGUACUGCAUAUACAUUGUACUUUGACAUUUUGUUUUUUUAUAUAUAUAUAACGACAUUCACAUAAAAAGUUUUUGGAAGUUACAUUCAAUAGCGGAACCAAAGGAGGAGUAAAUAGACAAACAGGUAAUAACACUACACAGGUAUAGAAAUCUCCCAGGAAUGGUCGACAGUGCAUUAAGUCCGGCGCCCAUAAAAUCAUAAUAUCGAUUAUCAAAAAUCAAAGGGCGAACUUAAUUCCAAGGGUUGCAGAUCACAAAUAGAUAUAUUUAUAUUCAUCAUAUAUAUAAAUGUUUUUUUUUUCUUACUCAGUAAUACAGUAAAUGUAACAUUAGUUAAUGGCUACAAUGGACUUUUCCCCACCAUGUCUGACAGCAUGUUAUUAGUACAAUGUUUAAAUAUAGAAGGAUGUUACUAAAGUAGAGCUCGAUAUAAAUAGAACGUUUAAAAGAGAAUUGAAUAAAUCUUUAUCGGUUGGUUUUGCGACCCGUCUGACGGAACCGUCAAUCCCUUUCUUCUCUCUGUCUCUCAGAACAAUCCUGAGCCCAUAUCGAAGACGGAUGGAGGAGUCAAACUGCAUCCCAAAUGGCACCCUAUUCCCUAUAUAGUGCUCUGCUUUUGACCAGUAUUGCACUGUAUAGGGAAAAGGGUGAAUGUUGGGAUACGUCGAUGGGGUGUAGACAGCUCCCAUGUUUGUAAUUUAUAGCUACAUAUCCAACCCGCCCACAUCCCUCACCCCGACACAAUGUACAAAAGAAGCUGUUUGUUUACUACACAUCACAGCCACCUCAACCACAACACCACAACAACAUGUUUUGGUAGCAACGCUGGGGUUUGGAGGCGCUGUUGUGGCCGACAGCAGACAUGCUCCCUGGACAUCUACAUACUGUAUGUAGGAUCUUCAUUUGAUUACCCUGUUGCAGGAAAAUAUUUCUGCAAUGCAGGACAUUUAAAACUUGUAGUGUAUUUUGUACUUGUAGUGUAUUUCCACUUUGAAAUUUCACACUUGAUUUUCCCUUACGAAAUUUUUUCAGACGCUACAAAAAUCUCCAUUCAUUAUAAUCCACAUUAUAAUUAAAAUGUCCUGUUGCUGUAUGAUUAUUUUCCUGCUGUAGGAGACUGGCUCAAAUUAAGAUCCUACAUCUGUAAAUACAAUACAGUGGGUGUUCCCUGACUUUAUACAGGCUUCUCUGCUUCCUCUCUGCUAAACACCUUCUUCUUCUUCCUUGGCUUUGAUAUUGGAGCAUUCAGGGUGUCUUUUAGUUCUAGCUACAGAGAUACAGAGUGGACUGGAAGCGUAACCUGUAGAGGAGCUGUUUUUCAAGUGGAAGGAAGCUCUACACUAGAGUUUAACUGUCCCCCUUUAUAUGACAUCACUUGUUGUUUUCACAUGACCCACAGGAAGUAAUUCAUUCUAAAUAGUCAAAGAUUGUUGACUGCCGAGCGAGGUUGACCUGUAAACGUGGCCCAAAUGGGUCAGAGUUUGUAUGUAAUGUCGCACGUUAUCACCUUUCAAACAGUGAACCAAGGACAUUUGUGGAAGAUGCAGCCUAGCUCUCAUUCGCCUGCCAUUUGGUGUCGUUGCUAUGGCAUUACCGCAGCGUUACUGUGGCAUUACCAUGACGACCAAAUAAGAGUCAUGUCAGGCGGACAAGCAACCCCUCACCACCAGCGUCUUGGCCCCCACUGGCACAUCAGCCUGCCCUCCC
RNAcentral lists this long non-coding RNA (2477 nucleotides) under Salmo salar (Atlantic salmon). Its description in RNAcentral is "lncRNA (ENSSSAG00000089533.1)". The record is from RNAcentral. Lineage: Eukaryota; Metazoa; Chordata; Actinopteri; Salmoniformes; Salmonidae.